Molecule: long non-coding RNA, 784 nt
Organism: Rosa chinensis
Lineage: Eukaryota; Viridiplantae; Streptophyta; Magnoliopsida; Rosales; Rosaceae
Exons: 6
Source: RefSeq, a predicted model, not a curated record
UUACCUUUUUUUUUUAAGGCUAAUUUUGUCUUAGAUAGUAUGGGUAAGUUCCAAUUACGGAGGUCUCAAGAGUUGAAGAGAAAUUCGGUACUAAGCCUUCGUCCCAGACGGAAGGAGUUGUUCAUUGGCUUCACAAAGGGCUAAGAUGGAGAGAAUGGACAAAUUGGUGAGGGAGUUAGGAGAAGUCGUGCUUGCCAAAGAAUGUUGUCAAAAUCUGGCAAAAAGUUUUAAUCACUCCACUGGUCGUGCUGGAAAACCAAUUGUGAAAUGGAUUCAGGUGCAAAAUUGGUUCCAGGAAAGGAUGCAAGAGAGUUGCCAAACAUAUUAAAAGAUCUCCAGGGAGUUUUGCCCUUCCACUAAGGCACCUAAAAGCAAAGAAAAACCUAAAGUUCAUAGAAGUUCCGCAGCGGGAAUUAAAUGCUGUUGAGAAGGACAACGAUGCAUUCAUUGAGGAUUUUUCUAAAGAGGACUACAAUGACAUGGUGAAUGGAAGGCAAAGCUGGUUAGGAGUAACUCUAGAGAGCAGAAAUGGGUGGGGCCUCUUCAUUGCCAAGAAGAAAUGAUUAUGAUACCUCAAAGUUUUGCAUAUGCAAAUGCAAUAGUGUACUCGAGUUAGAUAUGCAUUUCAGAUAAACAUUUUAUUCAGUUGCUGGUUUUAUCACAAACUAUGUCGUUGUCUUAUUAGUGUUUGAACUUUUGCCAUCUGUAAUAAUGAAAUUGGGGUUUGUCUUUGCUCAUUUGUAUCUGAAUCUUUGUCAAAUUCAAUAUUUGCCUGUUUUAAUCA